Molecule: long non-coding RNA, 347 nt
Organism: Cebus imitator (Panamanian white-faced capuchin)
Lineage: Eukaryota; Metazoa; Chordata; Mammalia; Primates; Cebidae
Exons: 2
Source: RefSeq, a predicted model, not a curated record
AUCUCAGGCUGGCUGCACACCUCAGCUGAAGAUCCCAGCUCCUGUCAAUGCCACAGUCCGCUUGACCGUCUCCUCCCAGAUUCAAGCAGGUACGAGCUGGGAAAUAGGAAGGCAGGGCAUGCCCAUGUGCCAGGUCUGCACAGCUGGAUAGAUGAGGAAAGAUGUGGAGGAGGGGCCGGUGAUUGUCUGGAAGCCUAAGGAUGUUGUUUGGCCCUUGGGCUCCAGAAUAUGCAUACCAGGACCUGGGGUGGCACCCACCAGGAAGCAACAGAGAGGAGAUAAAACUCACAGCAGACAGACUUGCCUUAACAAAAAUUCCCUUGAAUUAAAACAUGCUUUUCAAGAAA